Long non-coding RNA from Orcinus orca (killer whale), 391 nucleotides. RefSeq lists it as uncharacterized. The transcript has 2 exons. Lineage: Eukaryota; Metazoa; Chordata; Mammalia; Artiodactyla; Delphinidae. The record is from RefSeq and is a predicted model, not a curated record.
GUUUGGAAGCUUAAAAAAUAGUUAACAGGUGAUGAAGUUACCAUCACAGUGUCCAAGAUGAGGACAGCAAAGAGGAGACCAAUCAUAUCAGUGAUGCUCUCUGACGUUCAAGAUGCACCCUAACUUGGCACUUGGCGCUGUCACAGCCACCCUGCAGGCACGACAGAGGUCCCCAAGGCUGAGAUCCUUUAUGAUUUUAACACAGGCAGUUCAGGAAGCUGCAGUGUCCCCUUCCAGGCCACCAGUAGCCAGUCAAGAGAGUGGACGACCAAGCAAACCCCAAGAAGAGAAGCGCGCCUACCCUCUUCUCCUGCGUCACCGCGUACUCCACUACCUCGGCUCCAUUUUCGUUGUGAUAAACCAGAUCAAACUUCCCAGGUUCUUUCACGGC